Molecule: microRNA precursor, 77 nt
Filed under: Drosophila ananassae
Lineage: Eukaryota; Metazoa; Arthropoda; Insecta; Diptera; Drosophilidae
Description: mir-932 microRNA precursor family
Rfam family: mir-932 microRNA precursor family
Source: Rfam by way of RNAcentral
CGAGACUUUCAAUUCCGUAGUGCAUUGCAGUGUUUUUAAACUACAACUGCAUGCUCUGCGGACUUGGCAGAUUUGAA